UACGAAGGGUGCAAGCGUUACUCGGAAUUACUGGGCGUAAAGCGUGCGUAGGUGGUGAGUUAAGUCUGUCGUGAAAGCCCCGGGCUCAACCUGGGAAUGGCGAUGGAUACUGGCUCGCUAGAGUGCGGUAGAGGAGAGUGGAAUUCCUGGUGUAGCGGUGAAAUGCGCAGAUAUCAGGAGGAACACCGGUGGCGAAGGCGGGUCUCUGGGCCGAUACUGACGCUGAGGAGCGAAAGCGUGGGGAGCGAACAGG
RNAcentral lists this ribosomal RNA (253 nucleotides) under uncultured bacterium. RNAcentral describes it as "partial 16S ribosomal RNA". It matches the Rfam family "Bacterial small subunit ribosomal RNA", at positions 524 to 776 of the family's 1533-position model. The record is from RNAcentral.